Molecule: ribosomal RNA, 1064 nt
Filed under: uncultured bacterium
Lineage: Bacteria
Description: bacterial SSU rRNA
Rfam family: Bacterial small subunit ribosomal RNA
Source: RNAcentral
AGACUCCUACGGGAGGCAGCAGUAGGGAAUUUUCGGCAAUGGGGGAAACCCUGACCGAGCAACGCCGCGUGAAGGAAGAAGUAAUUCGUUAUGUAAACUUCUGUCAUAGAGGAAGAACGGUGGAUAUAGGGAAUGAUAUCCAAGUGACGGUACUCUAUAAGAAAGCCACGGCUAACUACGUGCCAGCAGCCGCGGUAAUACGUAGGUGGCGAGCGUUAUCCGGAAUUAUUGGGCGUAAAGAGGGAGCAGGCGGCACUAAGGGUCUGUGGUGAAAGAUCGAAGCUUAACUUCGGUAAGCCAUGGAAACCGUAGAGCUAGAGUGUGUGAGAGGAUCGUGGAAUUCCAUGUGUAGCGGUGAAAUGCGUAGAUAUAUGGAGGAACACCAGUGGCGAAGGCGACGAUCUGGCGCAUAACUGACGCUCAGUCCCGAAAGCGUGGGGAGCAAAUAGGAUUAGAUACCCUAGUAGUCCACGCCGUAAACGAUGAGUACUAAGUGUUGGGUGUCAAACCUCAGUGCUGCAGUUAACGCAAUAAGUACUCCGCCUGAGUAGUACGUUCGCAAGAAUGAAACUCAAAGGAAUUGACGGGGGCCCGCACAAGCGGUGGAGCAUGUGGUUUAAUUCGAAGCAACGCGAAGAACCUUACCAGGUCUUGACAUCGAUCUAAAGGCUCCAGAGAUGGAGAGAUAGCUAUAGAGAAGACAGGUGGUGCAUGGUUGUCGUCAGCUCGUGUCGUGAGAUGUUGGGUUAAGUCCCGCAACGAGCGCAACCCCUGUUGCCAGUUGCCAGCAUUAAGUUGGGGACUCUGGCGAGACUGCCGGUGACAAGCCGGAGGAAGGCGGGGAUGACGUCAAAUCAUCAUGCCCCUUAUGACCUGGGCUACACACGUGCUACAAUGGACAGAGCAGAGGGAAGCGAAGCCGCGAGGUGGAGCGAAACCCAUAAAACUGUUCUCAGUUCGGACUGCAGUCUGCAACUCGACUGCACGAAGAUGGAAUCGCUAGUAAUCGCGAAUCAGCAUGUCGCGGUGAAUACGUUCUCGGGCCUUGCACUCACCGCCCGUCA